GCCUCCGUGGCCUAGUGGUAAGGCGUCGCUCUCGUAAAGCGAAGAUCUCCGGUUCAAUCCCGGACGUGGGCA
Conidiobolus coronatus NRRL 28638 is the source of this 72-nucleotide transfer RNA. It matches the Rfam family "tRNA". Rfam says of the family: Transfer RNA (tRNA) molecules are approximately 80 nucleotides in length. Their secondary structure includes four short double-helical elements and three loops (D, anti-codon, and T loops). The record is from Rfam. Lineage: Eukaryota; Fungi; Entomophthoromycota; Entomophthoromycetes; Entomophthorales; Conidiobolaceae.